Molecule: ribosomal RNA, 57 nt
Filed under: Erica situshiemalis
Lineage: Eukaryota; Viridiplantae; Streptophyta; Magnoliopsida; Ericales; Ericaceae
Description: partial 28S ribosomal RNA
Source: RNAcentral
UCAACUGCGACCCCAGGUCAGGCGGGGAUUACCACGCUGAGUUUAAGCAUAUCAAUA